This 253-nucleotide ribosomal RNA is filed under the name uncultured bacterium. Its description in RNAcentral is "partial 16S ribosomal RNA". It matches the Rfam family "Bacterial small subunit ribosomal RNA", at positions 524 to 776 of the family's 1533-position model. The record is from RNAcentral.
UACGAGGGGUCCUAGCGUUGUUCGGAAUCAUUGGGCGUAAAGCGCGCGUAGGUGGCUUCGUAAGUCCGUUGUGAAAGUCAAAGGCUCAACCUUUGAAAGCCGAUGGAUACUGCGGAGCUAGAGUACGGAAGAGGCGAGUGGAAUUCCUGGUGUAGCGGUGGAAUGCGCAGAUAUCAGGAGGAACACCAAUAGCGAAGGCAGCUCGCUGGGACGUUACUGACACUGAGGCGCGAAAGCGUGGGGAGCGAACAGG